GACGAACCGUGCGAACGUUGUUCGGAAUCACUGGGCUUAAAGGGCGCGUAGGCGGACACUCAAGUCGGUGGUGAAAUCCUCCGGCUCAACCGGAGAAGAGCUGUCGAUACUGGGUGUCUCGAGGGGUGUAGGGGUCUGUGGAACUUUGGGUGGAGCGGUGAAAUGCGUAGAGAUCCAAAGGAACGCCGGUGGCGAAAGCGACGGACUGGACACCUUCUGACGCUGAGGCGCGAAAGCCAGGGGAGCAAACGGGAUUAGAUACCCCGGUAGUCCUGGCCCUAAACGAUGGGUACUAGGUUGAAGGCUUACAUGGGCUUUCAGCCGGAGCAAAAGUGUUAAGUACCCCGCCUGGGGAGUAUGGUCGCAAGGCUGAA
This 374-nucleotide ribosomal RNA is filed under the name uncultured bacterium. RNAcentral's name for it is "bacterial SSU rRNA". It matches the Rfam family "Bacterial small subunit ribosomal RNA", at positions 524 to 898 of the family's 1533-position model. The record is from RNAcentral.